CUUCUUUAGUUGUUUUCUGUUUAAUUUAUUGUUUGCAACGCAUCACCGAACAAGGCUAAAACUGAAUGAAGAUCGAUGAGAACAAAUCUUGCUUAUGUUGAGAGCCAACUGAUUACACGACAUUGGCAAAAGAAAGAGAAAAUUGAUCUCAUCGAACAAUUAGGGAAUUAAUGGUCCCCUAAAAACAGUGGCAUGAUAAAAAGAAGAGAAAGCUUUGGAUCGAGCGGGCGGCGGGACACAUAGAUCAGCACGUACGCGUUAUUACAAGCGAGUGAAAGAGACGGCUCCGGCUCCGGCUCCGGCUCCGGUUCAUCAUCUCCCGACGGACGGAUCGAUCAUUCCAAAGAAUUGCUCUAGACCCAUCUCAUCUCUGUCCGCCGGCCGAGCUCACCGACUGUCUCAGUCGGAGGUGCUAGGCUCCGGUGCUUACGCAGCGGAGGGCUCCCCGGCUGGGGCCGCGGGAGCGUCAGCGGGCGAGCUGAUGCACUUCACCGGUUGGCUUUCAUUCUUCCUGCUAGUGAAAUACAGAUUACCUCUUAGACCUCAGACGAAGAAGACGUACUACGAAUACACUGGCUUAUGGCAUACUCCCUUCGUUCUUGAAAGAACAUUUUCAACAUUCUUGAGGGGUCAAACUAUCUCAAAAUUUGACUGAGUUUGUGCAAAAAUAUGACAAUGUUUGUGAAACCAAAUAAAUAUAUAAUAAAAACAUAUUUUAUCAUGAAUCUAAUGCUACUAAUUUAAGGGAAAAAAAUAUGUAGCACCCGCAGUGUCUAAUUGACUCCUGCCUCUGAUCCUCCCGACACACUUGGGCCUCUCGGUCGAAUCUCGACGUGCUGCAUGCAGGGUAACAUGCAACACGGUGAGUUAAGCAUUGUACAGUAGAGAUUUAGAAAACAGUUGAACUCCCAGGUAAAUGUAAACAUACCUCCUGCACGGCCGGCGCCGGCGCCGACUUGGGGGCCUCCUCCUUGACCCCGGGGCGGCCGCAGCCGGCGACGCGGUCGACGAGGCCGAAAAACCUAUCCUUGAGCUGGGCGGCGAAGUUGGCCAUGUUGGUGGAAGUGAACAGACUGCACCUGCACGCUGCUACUCUCUCGACAAUCUGAACCACGUAGGUAGCUCUAGUGCUUGAUUUUGGUGGGGGG
This 1148-nucleotide long non-coding RNA is filed under the name Triticum aestivum (bread wheat). Its description in RNAcentral is "long non-coding RNA (TAES_LNC023254)". Lineage: Eukaryota; Viridiplantae; Streptophyta; Magnoliopsida; Poales; Poaceae. The record is from RNAcentral.